UACGUAGGUGGCGAGCGUUGUCCGGAUUUACUGGGCGUAAAGGGAGCGUAGGCGGACUUUUAAGUGAGAUGUGAAAUACUCGGGCUCAACUUGAGUGCUGCAUUUCAAACUGGAUGUCUAGAGUGCAGGAGAGGAGAAUGGAAUUCCUAGUGUAGCGGUGAAAUGCGUAGAGAUUAGGAAGAACACCAGUGGCGAAGGCGAUUCUCUGGACUGUAACUGACGCUGAGGCUCGAAAGCGUGGGGAGCAAACAGG
RNAcentral lists this ribosomal RNA (253 nucleotides) under uncultured bacterium. RNAcentral describes it as "partial 16S ribosomal RNA". It matches the Rfam family "Bacterial small subunit ribosomal RNA", at positions 524 to 776 of the family's 1533-position model. The record is from RNAcentral.